GGCACAGCAAUGAAAAUGCAAAAAGCGGCCAAAGAGCCAUGACGUCGGUUAGAACCUCCAUGUUCAGCUGAAUUCUACCUCUAGGGGCUCCAUUUUGUUUUGGGGGGCAUCUUGAGGUGUUUGUUGAUUUGUUGGUUUGUUUAAAUCUCACACACAUACACUGGAUUGUGCUUGCCAUGUCAGUCCCAUUUGCUUGCUUUUAUUUAUUUAUUUAUUUACCUACCUGCCUAUUUAUUUAUUUACCUACUUACCUCAUGUUCACCUCAAGGGGCUUCGGGGAGGAAAUGCUAAAGGAGAUAAGCCAUGACUGCCCAACAACAGAACCUCCAUAUUCAGCUGCAGUCUACCUCUGUUUUAACAUUUUGAAUAACACAGGCGCGCGCGCACACACAAACUGAAGCAACAAUCACCCACUUCACAUUACAUUAUACAGGUGUGAUAAGCUCUCUCUCGCUGAGAUAAAGAACUCGUCCAUUCAGUGGUUGCACACACAUACACCCCGAACCAUGUGUAAAACAUACACACACCCUUCAUAUAUCAAUAUAUGAGGUCUCCUCUAUGACAUUUAGAUAAGCAAUCCUCUGUAUUCAGCUGCAGUAUCUCCAACGAGGAUGUUGCUGCAUAUGAACAUGGAGGCUCUAGGGUCCAGCCAGGCGCGUAACAACGAUCGGGCAAGGGGAGACGGUUGUCUGGGGGCCCCACUGCCUGGAGGGGCACCCCAGGGGCACCUCACGUGACUCCCCAUUGCCCCCUGCCCAGCCCCAAGGCCCCUCAACCACUUGCCCUCUUCGCCGUCUCUCCUGCUUGUUCUCCUGGCCGGCAAUCGAAGCAGCAGGCAAGCUGCCAAGAGCUCCUUUUCUCCCGCCUCUCAGCUGAUCGGCGGGUGGGCAGGGCUUCCACGGAGGCCUGGUGUAGGCCUCUGUGAAGCCUGAACUCGAGUAGGGCCCAAGCCAGCCAGGAAGGAGGAGGCAGCCAGAGAGGCCUCCACUGUUCUCUGCAGCAGAAGACCCCCCUGCUGCCAGGUGGACUGCAGCAGGGCUUCCAGGCCGGAGCGAAGGAGCCCUAGUCUGCAGAGGAGGGAGCCAGGGACGCGCCGAACGUGCGAGCAGAUGCGCUCGCUCUGCAGCUGCGGCCGGUACAGAACAUUGCAAAGGACGGAGGCAUCUGAAGAGCCGUUGCAAUUGUGUCAGCACUUCUAGCCGGGAAGGAGGAGAGCAGGGGGGCGGGUGGGAAUCUGGCGGCGGCUGCUGCCUCCAAGGUCUGUGGAAGAACAGGAAAAUGCAGAGCAAGAAUUCCUUCCAGGAUCAUAAUUAAGAAUCACAUUCUCAGGGGUCUUUUUUUUUUCCCCUUCUCUUUUUUAAUCUAAGGUGUGGAAGGGCAAUUGUGUGUUGUUGUUGUUUUUUUGUUUAAAUAUUGUACAUAAGAAAUAAAUUCACUCUUGCACAUUGAAA
Long non-coding RNA from Hemicordylus capensis (graceful crag lizard), 1451 nucleotides. RefSeq lists it as uncharacterized. The record is from RefSeq and is a predicted model, not a curated record. The transcript is spliced from 2 exons. NCBI's taxonomy places the organism in Eukaryota, Metazoa, Chordata, Lepidosauria, Squamata, Cordylidae.